AAAAACCAAAUGACAUCAGAUGUGUAAUAUGAGGAUCCACUGUGACAUUUACGCAAAAUUAAAGCAACAUGCUUUGACAUCUGGGACAGAGUUCUCAUAGAGAUCAACAGAAAUAUCAAUAAUGAUGGACUUGAACAAUCAGCAAGGCACUGGGAUGAAGUGAGGAGCAUUUUCAUUAAAGAAUUAACUGACAGUGGAAAAUUAACUCAACAGAAGCUUGAUGGAGCACGAAAAACCUUUAGUAGUUUCACACAAAUGGUCUUGGACAAAUAUGUAAAAAUGGUUGAUGGUCUGGAGGAAAGGAUCAGUGCUUCCACUGAGUAAGAACUUAUGCUU
This is a long non-coding RNA of Megalobrama amblycephala (Wuchang bream), 336 nucleotides long. RefSeq lists it as uncharacterized. The record is from RefSeq and is a predicted model, not a curated record. The transcript is spliced from 4 exons. Lineage: Eukaryota; Metazoa; Chordata; Actinopteri; Cypriniformes; Xenocyprididae.